GACGUAGGGCGCGAGCGUUGUCCGGAUUUAUUGGGCGUAAAGAGCUCGUAGGCGGCUUGUCGCGUCGUCCGUGAAAACCCACAGCUCAACUGUGGGCUUGCGGUCGAUACGGGCAGACUAGAGGUAGGUAGGGGAGAAUGGAAUUCCCGGUGUAGCGGUGAAAUGCGCAGAUAUCGGGAGGAACACCGGUGGCGAAGGCGGUUCUCUGGGCCUUACCUGACGCUGAGGAGCGAAAGCGUGGGGAGCGAACAGG
This 253-nucleotide ribosomal RNA is filed under the name uncultured bacterium. RNAcentral's name for it is "partial 16S ribosomal RNA". It matches the Rfam family "Bacterial small subunit ribosomal RNA", at positions 524 to 776 of the family's 1533-position model. The record is from RNAcentral.